Molecule: ribosomal RNA, 396 nt
Filed under: uncultured Gammaproteobacteria bacterium
Lineage: Bacteria; Pseudomonadati; Pseudomonadota; Gammaproteobacteria
Description: bacterial SSU rRNA
Rfam family: Bacterial small subunit ribosomal RNA
Source: RNAcentral
AAUGGACGAAAGUCUGACGGAGCGACGCCGCGUGGUGGAUGAAGUACUUAGGUACGUAAACACCUUUUAUGAGUGAAGAAGUAUAUUGACAUUAGCUCAUGAAUAAGGGGCUCCUAACUCUGUGCCAGCAGGAGCGGUAAUACAGAGGCCCCAAGCAUUAUCCGGAUUCACUGGGCGUAAAGGGUUCGUAGGCGGUGUGAUUAGUCAGGUGUUAAAUCCUUGGGCUCAACCCAAGAAUCGCAUUUGAAACGGUCACACUAGAAGUAGUCAGAGGCAAGCAGAGCUCUCGGUGUAGGGGUGAAAUCCGUUGAUAUCGAGGGAAAUACCAAAUGCGAAGGCAGCUUGCUGGGGCUCACUUGACGCUGAGGAACGAAAGCGUGGGUAGCGAACGGGAUU